RNAcentral lists this ribosomal RNA (253 nucleotides) under uncultured prokaryote. Its description in RNAcentral is "partial 16S ribosomal RNA". It matches the Rfam family "Bacterial small subunit ribosomal RNA", at positions 524 to 776 of the family's 1533-position model. The record is from RNAcentral.
UACAGAGGUCCCGAGCGUUGUUCGGAUUCACUGGGCGUAAAGGGUGCGUAGGUGGCUGGGAAAGUUUGAUGUGAAAGCUCAGGGCUUAACCCUGAAAUGGCAUUGAAUACUACUUGGCUGGAGGUUUGGAGGGGGGACUGGAAUACUUGGUGUAGCAGUGAAAUGCGUAGAUAUCAAGUGGAACACCAGUGGCGAAGGCGAGUCCCUGGACAAUUCCUGACACUGAGGCACGAAAGCUAGGGGAGCAAACGGG